CUUGCUUUUCUGAUCAGUGGCGAACGGGUGAGUAACACGUGAGCAACCUACCCUUGACUCUGGGAUAACAGUUGGAAACAGCUGCUAAUACCGGAUAUGACCCUGGCAGGCAUCUGCUGGGGUGGAAAGCUCCGACGGUCAGGGAUGGGCUCGCGGCCUAUCAGCUUGUUGGUGAGGUAGUGGCUCACCAAGGCGACGACGGGUAGCCGGCCUGAGAGGGCGACCGGCCACACUGGGACUGAGAUACGGCCCAGACUCCUACGGGAGGCAGCAGUGGGGAAUAUUGCGCAAUGGGCGAAAGCCUGACGCAGCAACGCCGCGUGCGGGAUGACGGCCUUCGGGUUGUAAACCGCUUUCACCCAUGACGAAGGGUUUCUGACGGUAGUGGGAGAAGAAGCACCGGCUAACUACGUGCCAGCAGCCGCGGUGAUACGUAGGGUGCGAGCGUUGUCCGGAAUUAUUGGGCGUAAAGAGCUUGUAGGCGGUUUGUUGCGUCGGGAGUGAAAACUCAGGGCUUAACCCUGAGCCGGCUCUCGAUACGGGCAGACUUGAGGAAGGUAGGGGAGAACGGAAUUCCUGGUGGAGCGGUGGAAUGCGCAGAUAUCAGGAGGAACACCAGUGGCGAAGGCGGUUCUCUGGACCUUAUCUGACGCUGAGAAGCGAAAGCGUGGGGAGCAAACAGGCUUAGAUACCCUGGUAGUCCACGCUGUAAACGGUGGGCACUAGGUGUGGGACCCUUCCACGGGUUCCGUGCCGUAGCUAACGCAUUAAGUGCCCCGCCUGGGGAGUACGGCCGCAAGGCUAAAACUCAAAGGAAUUGACGGGGGCCCGCACAAGCGGCGGAGCAUGCGGAUUAAUUCGAUGCAACGCGAAGAACCUUACCUGGGUUU
RNAcentral lists this ribosomal RNA (890 nucleotides) under uncultured bacterium. RNAcentral describes it as "bacterial SSU rRNA". It matches the Rfam family "Bacterial small subunit ribosomal RNA", at positions 79 to 982 of the family's 1533-position model. The record is from RNAcentral.